RNAcentral lists this ribosomal RNA (496 nucleotides) under uncultured bacterium. RNAcentral describes it as "partial 16S ribosomal RNA". It matches the Rfam family "Bacterial small subunit ribosomal RNA", at positions 29 to 507 of the family's 1533-position model. The record is from RNAcentral.
AUGAACGCUGGCGGCGUGCCUAAUACAUGCAAGUCGAGCGAACGGACGAGAAGCUUGCUUCUCUGAUGUUAGCGGCGGACGGGUGAGUAACACGUGGAUAACCUACCUAUAAGACUGGGAUAACUUCGGGAAACCGGAGCUAAUACCGGAUGAUAUUUUGAACCGCAUGGUUCAAAAGUGAAAGACGGUCUUACUGUCACUUAUAGAUGGAUCCGCGCUGCAUUAGCUAGUUGGUAAGGUAACGGCUUACCAAGGCAACGAUGCAUAGCCGACCUGAGAGGGUGAUCGGCCACACUGGAACUGAGACACGGUCCAGACUCCUACGGGAGGCAGCAGUAGGGAAUCUUCCGCAAUGGGCGAAAGCCUGACGGAGCAACGCCGCGUGAGUGAUGAAGGUCUUCGGAUCGUAAAACUCUGUUAUUAGGGAAGAACAUAUGUGUAAGUAACUGUGCACAUCUUGACGGUACCUAAUCAGAAAGCCACGGCUAACUACGUG